GUUAAGGUAUGAUAAUCUAACAUAACUGAGUCCAUGAAACUCAAAUAACAUUUUUCAAGUUCUCUACAAUGAAUUAAUGAUAGGAUUUGUAAAUAAUUGCCAUUCAAAAAAAUAAUAAAAUAAGAAGGAACCAGCCAUGAUCAAUUACAAUAGUAAUUUGAGGCAAAAGCAUUUUCAGAAAGCAGGUUAUUUGUUCCAUGAUCAAAAGGGUGUUUGAGGUUACAGCAAAUGCAAA
RNAcentral lists this unclassified non-coding RNA (235 nucleotides) under Hevea brasiliensis (rubber tree). The record is from RNAcentral. Lineage: Eukaryota; Viridiplantae; Streptophyta; Magnoliopsida; Malpighiales; Euphorbiaceae.